Molecule: ribosomal RNA, 206 nt
Filed under: uncultured bacterium
Lineage: Bacteria
Description: partial 16S ribosomal RNA
Rfam family: Bacterial small subunit ribosomal RNA
Source: RNAcentral
UGCGUAGGCGGCAUGUCAAGCCAGAGGUGAAAGGCAUUGGCUCAACCAAUGUAAGCCUUUGGAGCUGACGUGCUUGAGUACAGGAGAGGUAAGUGGAAUUCCUAGUGUAGAGGUGAAAUUCGUAGAUAUUAGGGGGAACACCAGUGGCGAAGGCGACUUACUGGACUGUAACUGACGCUGAGGCACGAAAGCGUGGGUAGCGAACA